RNAcentral lists this ribosomal RNA (253 nucleotides) under uncultured bacterium. RNAcentral's name for it is "partial 16S ribosomal RNA". It matches the Rfam family "Bacterial small subunit ribosomal RNA", at positions 524 to 776 of the family's 1533-position model. The record is from RNAcentral.
UACGUAGGGGGCAAGCGUUGUCCGGAAUCAUUGGGCGUAAAGCGCGCGUAGGCGGCCUCGUAAGUCCGCUGUGAAAGUCAAAGGCUCAACCUUUGAAUGCCGGUGGAUACUGCGAGGCUAGAGUCCGGAAGAGGCGAGUGGAACUCCUGGUGUAGCGGUGGAAUGCGCAGAUAUCAGGAAGAACACCAACGGCGAAGGCAGCUCGCUAGGACGGUACUGACGCUGAGACGCGAAAGCGUGGGGAGCAAACAGG